AGCAGCCGCGGUAAUUCCAGCUCCAAUAGCGUAUAUUAAAGUUGUUGCAGUUAAAAAGCUCGUAGUUGAAUUUCGGGGUUCUACCGUUGGUCGGGCUUUGUCUGUACUGGCGUGUAGAAUUUCUACCUUCUGGGGAACUAUCAUGUUAUUAAUUUAACGUGGUGGGAAACCAGGACCUUUACCUUGAAAAAAUUAGAGUUUCAAAGCAGGCUUAUGUCUGAAUACAUUAGCAUGGAAUAAUAAAAUAGGACGGUGGUCCUGUUUUGUUGGUUUCUGAAUCACCGUAAUGACUAAUAGGGAUAGUUGGGGGCAUUAGUAUUCAAUUGUCAGAGGUGAAAUUCUUGGAUUUAU
RNAcentral lists this ribosomal RNA (351 nucleotides) under uncultured Racocetra. RNAcentral describes it as "SSU rRNA". It matches the Rfam family "Eukaryotic small subunit ribosomal RNA", at positions 569 to 929 of the family's 1831-position model. The record is from RNAcentral. Lineage: Eukaryota; Fungi; Glomeromycota; Glomeromycetes; Diversisporales; Gigasporaceae.